Hordeum vulgare subsp. vulgare (domesticated barley) is the source of this 1353-nucleotide long non-coding RNA. RefSeq lists it as uncharacterized. The transcript has 2 exons. Lineage: Eukaryota; Viridiplantae; Streptophyta; Magnoliopsida; Poales; Poaceae. The record is from RefSeq and is a predicted model, not a curated record.
CACCACUCUUCGGUGUGAGAUAUGCCUAAGUGCACGCUUUGGUUUACACUAGGCCGAAGAAUGAUCUUUUGGCGAUUUUUUUCUCGUCAUUCUACUUGCGUAACAUUUCUUGCCAUCGUUAACAUCUUAUUUUUCCGCCAACCCUUUUCCUUAAUUCUCUGUCCCACUUAAUGUUCCCGUCUUUGUCUUUUCUGCACAAUGUCCUGUCAUUCUCUUUCCCGUUUAAUUUUCCCACCAACUCCUUAGCAUCAUUCUAUAAACCGCCCCCUUGUCUUUUGUCUUCUGCAUCUUUCUUUAAUAAUAUUUUCAGCCUUGUUCGGCAACAAUUUUUACGGUUUUACUUCACUGAUGUCUCAUUUGUUCUUGGUCAAUGACCUAGAAAGCAAAGGCUUAGUAAUGGAGGUGUGCGUUUUGAAGAUCAGUUAGUAGUGAUAGGCACCCGACGAAGUGUUUCUCUCGGCUUGGUCUCUCGAAGAAGUGCCUGGAUAGUAACCCAGAGGAAAUUCAACAAGAACUUUUCCAGUUUCAUACAAGGUGGGAUAGGUAGGAUUGUUGAAUUCAAACGUAUGAGCGCCCGCAUUACCUGUAGACCUUUACUUGUUGAUGAUCCAAAAAUAAACUACCAACAAAAGCAAUACGAGGACCACGUUAAGGACAGGGACUUGUUGAACAAGGAUAUCUUCAACUUUGGAUGGAUGAAGUCUAUCUGAGGUCAAUACCAGAGCUCAGAGUUUGGAGACAGAGUGGUACAUCAGCGAGGGGUGGUGCUAGCUCCAAGAAAGCGAUUGAAGACGACGAUGAUGAUUUUAUGCCAAGCAAAUGAGCUCACAACAGAGGCAAGGCCCCUGUUGCAUCUGAGAGGGUUCGUAGUAGUUGUAAAAAAGUGAAGAGCGCCGAUGAUGACUUUGUGCCAAAAAAGAAGGCGCCGAUGAUGACUUUAUGCCAAAAAAGAAGGCUCAGAACAAAUCCAAGACUUGUGCCAGCACGAAGAGUGGUAGAUCAAAUAAGAGCGUAGCAUCAUCGAAGGGUGCGAUGUUGAUUAUGAUUUCGCCAAUGAGUUUAUGCGAGGGAAACUAGUUCAGGACUCAGGUACCAUUUGGACGCAAUCGUGAAGACCCCUGGAAGCUACUUGUUAGCGAGAAUAAUGAUGAUGACUUCAUGUAGUUCUUACACUUCAUUGCAGAAGCAGUUAGUAGUGUCCAAUUCUAGUGUAGUGUGUUAUUCUAGUGUAGGAACAUUAUGUUGUAUCUUAAUUUCUUGUUGUGUUGUGUGGCAAUUUCUAUGAAACAUGAAAAUCAUUAUGUUUAAGAUUGUGCAAUUGUAACACAUGCAUAAAAGCAUAUCUCAUACAUA